UACGCUGGCGGCACGCCUAACACAUGCAAGUCGAACGAAGUAGCAAUACUUAGUGGCAGACGGGUGAGUAACAUGUAGGUAUCUGCCCUUUGGCCUGGAAUAACACGAGGAAACUUGUGCUAAUACCGGAUAAGUCUUUACGGAGAAAGCUUUAUGCACCAUUGGAUGAGCCUGCACUUGAUUAGUUUGUUGGUGGGGUAAUGGCCUACCAAGACUGUGAUCAAUAGCUGAUUUGAGAGGAUGAUCAGCCACAUUGGGACUGAGACACGGCCCAAACUCCUACGGGAGGCAGCAGUGGGGAAUCUUGCACAAUGGAGGAAACUCUGAUGCAGCGAUGCCGCGUGAGUGAAGAAGGCCCUUGGGUUGUAAAGCUCUUUCGUCGGGGAAGAAAAUGACUGUACCCGAAUAAGAAGGUCCGGCUAACUUCGUGCCAGCAGCCGCGGUAAUACGAAGGGACCUAGCGUAGUUCGGAAUUACUGGGCUUAAAGAGUUCGUAGGUGGUUGAAAAAGUUAGUGGUGAAAUCCCAGAGCUUAACUCUGGAACUGCCAUUAAAACUUUUCAGCUAGAGUAUGAUAGAGGAAAGCAGAAUUUCUAGUGUAGAGGUGAAAUUCGUAGAUAUUAGAAAGAAUACCAAUUGCGAAGGCAGCUUUCUGGAUCAUUACUGACACUGAGGAACGAAAGCAUGGGUAGCGAAGAGGAUUAGAUACCCUCGUAGUCCAUGCCGUAAACGAUGUGUGUUAGACGUUGGAAAUUUAUUUUCAGUGUCGC
Molecule: ribosomal RNA, 769 nt
Filed under: uncultured bacterium
Lineage: Bacteria
Description: bacterial SSU rRNA
Rfam family: Bacterial small subunit ribosomal RNA
Source: RNAcentral